RNAcentral lists this ribosomal RNA (462 nucleotides) under uncultured bacterium. RNAcentral describes it as "partial 16S ribosomal RNA". It matches the Rfam family "Bacterial small subunit ribosomal RNA", at positions 28 to 507 of the family's 1533-position model. The record is from RNAcentral.
GACGAACGCUGGCGGCGUGCUUAACACAUGCAAGUCGAACGGAAAGGCCUUUUCGGAGGUACUCGAGUGGCGAACGGGUGAGUAACACGUGGGUGAUCUGCCCUGCACUCUGGGAUAAGCCUGGGAAACUGGGUCUAAUACCGGAUAGGACCGCACUUAGUGUGUGUGGUGGAAAGUUUUUUCGGUGUAGGAUGAGCCCGCGGCCUAUCAGCUUGUUGGUGGGGUAAUGGCCUACCAAGGCGGCGACGGGUAGCCGGACUGAGAGGUUGGUCGGCCACAUUGGGACUGAGAUACGGCCCAGACGCCUACGGGAGGCAGCAGUGGGGAAUAUUGCACAAGGGGCGCAAGCCGGAUGCAGCGACGCCGCGGGGGGGAUGACGGCCUUCGGGUUGUAAACUCCUUUCGCCAGGGACGAAGCGUUUUGUGACGGUACCUGGAGAAGAAGCACCGGCUAACUACGUG